GUCUCAGGCUGGAGAAAGCAAAGACUCCUAGCCAUUCCUCUGACUCAUGUACAAAACUUCUCUGGGGUGUGUAUGUUCCCCUCUGAUUUAUUCCGGACAGGAAGCAACCGGUUCUAUGAUAACAUUGAAGACAUGAUUGGCUACCGGCCACCGUCGCUUAUUAAGUGGUGCUGGAAGAUCAUGACCCCUGGGAUCUGCGCGGGGAUCUUCAUCUUCUUCUUGAUCAAGUACAAGCCGCUCAAGUACAACAACAUCUACACCUACCCAGCCUGGGGCUACAGCAUUGGCUGGCUCAUGGCCCUGUCCUCCAUGCUCUGCAUCCCGCUCUGGAUCUGCAUCACAGUGUGGAAGACGGAGGGGACGCUGCCCGAGGUGAGACCGCCCCAGGAGGGCUGGUGCGUGUGGGCAGGGUUCGCGCCUUGGGUCCCAGUUUCCUCAUCUGCAUGGUGCGCGAUGAUGGCCUGCGCCCACCUGCCUCAAGGGGACGCUGUGGCAAACUCCUCUCUGGCCAAUGCGCAUUAUCGUGGUUGUGCCCAAGGUGUCUCUGUGAGGUCUUUUGGCUGAGCCAGU
Molecule: small RNA, 570 nt
Filed under: Pongo abelii (Sumatran orangutan)
Lineage: Eukaryota; Metazoa; Chordata; Mammalia; Primates; Hominidae
Description: retained intron
Source: RNAcentral